GCAGGCUGAAACUCGCCUGCAUGAAGUCGGAAUUGCUAGUAAUCGCAGAUCAGCAUGCUGCGGUGGAUACGUUCCCGGGCCUUGUACACACCGCCCGUCACACCAUGGGAGUCGGUAACACCCGAAGCCUGUAGUCCUAACCGCAAGGAGGACGCAGUCGAAGGUGGGAUUGAUGACUGGGGUGAAGUCGUAACAAGGUAGC
Molecule: ribosomal RNA, 202 nt
Filed under: uncultured bacterium
Lineage: Bacteria
Description: partial 16S ribosomal RNA
Rfam family: Bacterial small subunit ribosomal RNA
Source: RNAcentral